RNAcentral lists this ribosomal RNA (253 nucleotides) under uncultured bacterium. RNAcentral's name for it is "partial 16S ribosomal RNA". It matches the Rfam family "Bacterial small subunit ribosomal RNA", at positions 524 to 776 of the family's 1533-position model. The record is from RNAcentral.
UACGAAGGGUGCGAGCGUUGUUCGGAAUUACUGGGCGUAAAGGGUUUGUAGGCUGAAAUGUAAGUCAAGUGUGAAAUCCCCGAGCUAAACUUGGGACGUGCAUUUGAAACUGUGUUUCUUGAGUAUCGUAGAGGGUGGUGGAAUUGUAGGUGUAGGAGUGACAUCCGUAGAGAUCUGCAGGAACAUCAGAGGCGAAGGCGACCACCUGGCCGAUUACUGACGCUGAGAAACGAAAGCGUGGGGAGCAAACAGG